RNAcentral lists this transfer RNA (72 nucleotides) under Ctenophorus infans. RNAcentral describes it as "tRNA-Asn". It matches the Rfam family "tRNA". From Rfam's summary of the family: Transfer RNA (tRNA) molecules are approximately 80 nucleotides in length. Their secondary structure includes four short double-helical elements and three loops (D, anti-codon, and T loops). Further hydrogen bonds mediate the characteristic L-shaped molecular structure. tRNAs have two regions of fundamental functional importance: the anti-codon, which is responsible for specific mRNA codon recognition, and the 3' end, to which the tRNAs corresponding amino acid is attached (by aminoacyl-tRNA synthetases). tRNAs cope with the degeneracy of the genetic code in two manners: having more than one tRNA (with a specific anti-codon) for a particular amino acid; and 'wobble' base-pairing, i.e. permitting non-standard base-pairing at the 3rd anti-codon position. Lineage: Eukaryota; Metazoa; Chordata; Lepidosauria; Squamata; Agamidae. The record is from RNAcentral.
GGAGUUGAUGCUGUUGGUUUAGCGUACUAGCUGUUAACUAGUGUGGUGUGGGAUCGAAGCCCUCCAGCUCCU